RNAcentral lists this ribosomal RNA (457 nucleotides) under uncultured bacterium. RNAcentral's name for it is "partial 16S ribosomal RNA". It matches the Rfam family "Bacterial small subunit ribosomal RNA", at positions 338 to 795 of the family's 1533-position model. The record is from RNAcentral.
CCUACGGGUGGCAGCAGUGGGGAAUAUUGCACAAUGGGGGAAACCCUGAUGCAGCGACGCCGCGUGAGUGAAGAAGUAUUUCGGUACGUAAAGCUCUAUCAGCAGGGAAGAAAAAAAGUCCUUUGGACUUUGGACGGUACCUGACCAAGAAGCCCCGGCUAACUACGUGCCAGCAGCCGCGGUGAUACGUAGGGGGCAAGCGUUAUACGGAUUUACGGGGUGGAAAGGGAGCGUAGACGGCAGCGCAAGUCUGGAGUGAAAUGCCGGGGCCCAACCCCGGACCUGCUUUGGAAACUGUGCAGCUGGAGUGCAGGAGAGGUAAGCGGAAUUCCUAGUGUAGCGGUGAAAUGCGUAGAUAGUAGGAGGAACACCAGUGGCGAAGGCGGCUUACUGGACUGUAACUGACGUUGAGGCUCGAAAGCGUGGGGAGCAAACAGGAUUAGAUACCCUUGUAGUC